Long non-coding RNA from Poecilia latipinna (sailfin molly), 108 nucleotides. RefSeq lists it as uncharacterized. NCBI's taxonomy places the organism in Eukaryota, Metazoa, Chordata, Actinopteri, Cyprinodontiformes, Poeciliidae. The transcript is spliced from 3 exons. The record is from RefSeq and is a predicted model, not a curated record.
AGUAAUGAAAAUAAUCUAGUGAUUGAACAGCCUCCCUGAUACCAGAUAAACAGCAGGUUCACAUCUAGAUUUAGCUUCCGAGUACGCCGGCCGUAAUAGCCACUCUGC